Molecule: ribosomal RNA, 301 nt
Filed under: uncultured bacterium
Lineage: Bacteria
Description: partial 16S ribosomal RNA
Rfam family: Bacterial small subunit ribosomal RNA
Source: RNAcentral
CAGCAGCCGCGGUAAAACGGAGGGGGCUAGCGUUGCUCGGAAUGACUGGGCGUAAAGGGCGCGUAGGCGGCGGCCAAAGUCAGGCGUGAAAUUCCCGGGCUCAACCUGGGGGCUGCGUUUGAUACUUGGUUGCUUGAGUGGGGAAGAGGGUCGUGGAAUUCCCAGUGUAGAGGUGAAAUUCGUAGAUAUUGGGAAGAACACCGGUGGCGAAGGCGGCGACCUGGUCCUUUACUGACGCUGAGGCGCGAAAGCGUGGGGAGCAAACAGGAUUAGAUACCCCAGUAGUCCCUGUCUCUUAUAC